GCGGGUGUAGCUCAGUUGGCAGAGCGUUAGCUUCCCAAGCUGAAGGCCGUGGGUUCGAACCCCAUCACCCGCU
This 73-nucleotide transfer RNA is filed under the name Planctomycetaceae bacterium. RNAcentral's name for it is "tRNA-Gly". It matches the Rfam family "tRNA". Rfam says of the family: Transfer RNA (tRNA) molecules are approximately 80 nucleotides in length. Their secondary structure includes four short double-helical elements and three loops (D, anti-codon, and T loops). Further hydrogen bonds mediate the characteristic L-shaped molecular structure. tRNAs have two regions of fundamental functional importance: the anti-codon, which is responsible for specific mRNA codon recognition, and the 3' end, to which the tRNAs corresponding amino acid is attached (by aminoacyl-tRNA synthetases). tRNAs cope with the degeneracy of the genetic code in two manners: having more than one tRNA (with a specific anti-codon) for a particular amino acid; and 'wobble' base-pairing, i.e. permitting non-standard base-pairing at the 3rd anti-codon position. Lineage: Bacteria; Pseudomonadati; Planctomycetota; Planctomycetia; Planctomycetales; Planctomycetaceae. The record is from RNAcentral.